Molecule: long non-coding RNA, 314 nt
Organism: Phyllostomus discolor (pale spear-nosed bat)
Lineage: Eukaryota; Metazoa; Chordata; Mammalia; Chiroptera; Phyllostomidae
Exons: 3
Source: RefSeq, a predicted model, not a curated record
UCAGAGCUUUCCUGCCCAGGUGGUCCCUGUGGCGCUGCACCGGGACUCAAUGGGACGCUCUAAAUGUCCCCUUCGGGCUGGUUCCACCGUAAAAGAUGGGUAGCGGGGACAGAGUAGAGGGAACCCUGGGCCCUCUGACAGUUUAAAAGAUUAAAAGUUCCAGCCCUGGCUGGUGUCGCACGAUGGACUGAGCACUGGCCUGCGAACCAAAAGGUCACGAGUUGGAUUCCUGGUCAGGGCACAUGCCUGGGCUGCAGGCCAGGUCCGGGUUGGGGUGUGAGAGAGCAACUGACUGAUAUAUAUGUCAUGCAUCA